CUAGCUCCCUGACCAGGGAUUGAACCCAUGCCCCCUGCAUUGGGAGCGCAGUCUUAUCCACUGCACCACCAGGGAAGUCCCCUCAUUCUAGUACUUCUGUGGACUACAGGGCCCAGAAACCACAGAUCUCCCCAAGCAGUGUGUUCUGACAGAAAGAGCUAGAAAGACACAGGGGUGAGUCUCAGCUCUCCAUUUUCUGUUUGGACAAGUUACUUAAUCUUCCCAGUGUUUCCAAGUCUGUAAGAUGUUUAGUAAGACUGACCUCAAGGAUUGUAGUACCAAUAAUAUGAGAUAAUGUGGGCAAAGCACACAGCCCAGAGCCUGAUAAUAGGAAUUCAGCAAAUUGUGAUCUGACCCCCUCCCCCUUCCCCAGGGUGUGCUGGAAUUUACCCACUGUGCUUUCUACUUUAAAUCCUUUUUGGAACAGUCUCCACAAUAAACUAGCAAACAAUAAAAUACAGACCUCCUUUUCUCUCUCCUUUCCCCCUUUCUUCUUUCUUCCUCUGCCUUUUCUAUGUGGUCCUUUUCUUCCCUUUCUGUUCUUUAUUUCUCGUGUGUAUGUGUCUGUUAUUUGUUUUCUGCUUCUCCUACCAUACCUUAGCCAGGGUCAGGGAGCAGUUAACCAAGUAUUUUCACUGUGAGAAUCAAAUCAGAAGAUAAAAGGAGUCAAAAGAGAAAAGUAUUCUAGAAUGGAGCCAAGUUUCUCACUUCAUGCCCCCAGCAUUAGAAAACACAUUAUCGGUAUAGAUCUAAACCAUUGUGGGCUAGGUGAAAUUUAGGGGGAAGACUCCCUAACCUGUCUUUAGUAUGGCCAGACCACCCUUUUCUCCCUUCACAUCUUACUGAUUUGUUUGCAGUGAUGGACUUCAAGGUCAAAAGACAGAACUGUGUCAGGCAGGCCCUUUUGGGUUCCCAGAAGCAGAGGGGGAUGAGGCAGUGGGAGGAGAGGCCAUAAGGAUGGUAGAAAGAGAAAUGAACUGUGAGAGGAUGGCAGAAUUGGAGCUCCUUGGGCUAGAGACCUUGACCAAAUCAUUCUCCUUUCUGCUUCCUUAUUUCUCUCUUUAUGAAAUGAAUAAUUAUCACCUGUCUUGUAAGGUGGUUAGGAGGAUCAAAUAUGAAAGUGCUUAUGAAAUGUGAAAUAGAUAAACUGCUGCUUAGAUGAAACAUCAUAAUUUACAUUUAUUCAACUACAGAGCACCUAUUUCACGACAUCCAUUGCUAGGCACUGGAAAAACAAAGAUAAGAAAGGGUCUUUCUAAGAAACUCAAAAGCUAGAGGGUAUUUUUAGGAUAAUGGGUACAAUGGGGUCUUUAGACAGUGGACCUAAAGACUUAAGAACUAGAAUUGGCCUAAAGAUCGGUAUGAUCAAGCUACUGAAAGUGCAGAGGGAUAAUAACAGUCUCAAGAUACCUUCACCCAGUAGGUGUGCCCCAAACUUUCUACGGUGUGUGUCACCAAGGUGAGGGCUGAAGCAGUUCAAAUGCUUCAUGAGCAGGAGGAAGCCAUGGGACGACGUGGAGGGUCCCCACAGAGAAUGGAGCCUCUUCAGCGUCGGAAACCACAGGAAACCAGGUCAAUGCGUGGGGCCCACUCCCUCAGCUCCAGGGCUCAGCUAUGGGACCUGGGGCUUCCUGAGCAGACUGUACUGAUGAGUGGAUCCUUGAAGCUGGAGGCCCUUUGGCAGAAGUGCUGGAACUGGCCAACGGGUAGAGAGAGAAAGCUGGACCCUAGUCCUGAAAGUCAGCCAGGUGGGAGCCAGGAUGCACAGGGUGACAUGUGAGGUUUACGUGCUUUUUUGUUCUGCCCACCUCUAAGUGGUGCAUCAGUCACCUCGGUCUCCAGCACCCACUGCAGAGAAGUGCUUCAUGGCUCUGUCAGUCUUUUAAGUGAGAGGAUGAAGCACGUGUCCAGGGGAGAUUCAAGGCCAGGAGCACGCUAAGGGGCGGGUCUGAUCUGCAGGGUGUUGCAGGAGUAGGAGGAGUUACGAAGUGGGUGCAGCCGCCAUCCAUCCCCCUGACCCUGUGCCAGCCUCUUGCCUGUUAUUUCUCUGCCAGAGCAGGAGCCCCCUUGCCCUCCAGGUAGGGGAGUAGGGCUUUCUGGGGGGCAAGUGUCCUUCAGUCCCUCCACUUGGAGGAGAAGGAAUGUGGCCUGGCCGGCUGGUUGAGCUUGAGGAGGAGCUUUGGGGCAGGGCGGGGCAGGGGCAGGCUGAGGCGAGGGCUCCUGCUGGCACUGCACUCCCUGCUGCUGCACGGCAAGGCCCUGCCACCCACCUUCAGGAGGCGCAGCCAUGUUCUGGAUACCCUGAUCCCUCGGAAGCCCAUGGGGAGCCCCGGACUGGCAGCCCUGCUCCUGCCUCUUGUCCAGCUGCUCCUUGGCCUGUCUGCCUCUGCUAGUAUUGGCUGCCCCUACCUUCCCAGCUGGAGCACCCUCUGUCUGCUGGCCUCCCACAUGGAUGACAGUUUCACUGGAAGGUCUGCCCAGAUUCCUCGCCAUACCCUAUCGGCCUUUCCCCCCUCCCCAAAGCCUUGGCGUGCUUGGCUCUGCCACUGUCCCUGCUGUUGGUGCCUGCAUCUGGUGUCAGAUCCUUCGGGUCUUCAGUGGGACUGGCUCCACCUCCUGGUGCAGAAAUCCAAAAAGUCUUACAAGUUCCGGUUCUGUAGGAGGCACACGAUGCCAGCAUCUGCUCAGACACCUCCCACAAGGGGCUGCGUUCCAAAAGAACCCAACCUGCAGAUCCAGAGAAAGGGGAAGUUCUCUCCAAACGUGGCUCACAAAGGCUUGGAGGUAGGCACAUCGUGUGACUGGAGAUGGUGGAGCCAAGUAGUGGUACCUGUGCUAAGGCCAAAAGACAAGGCCACCAAGUCCCCCUUCUCCCCAGGGCCUGAGUUCUCCUUUGACUUGCUGCCUGAGGCACGGGUUAUUCAAGUGACCAUUCCUCCAGGCCCUGAGGUCAGUGUGCGUCUUUGCCACCAGUGGGCACUGGAGUGUGAGGAGCUGAGCCGUCCCUUUGAUGCCCAGAAAAUUGUGUCUGGGGGCUGCACUGUAGACCUGCCUUAUGAAUUCCUUCUGCCCUGUCUGUGCAUCGAGGUGUCCUACCUGCAAGAAGACACCGUGAGGCACAAAAAGUGUCCCUUCCAGAGCUGGCCUGAAGCCUAUGGCUCGGACUUCUGGGAGUCGGUGAACUUUACUGACCACAGCCAGCACAGUCAGAUGGUCAUGGCCCUGACACUCCGCUGCCCACUGAAGCUGGACGCCUCCCUCUGCCAGAGGCGGGGCUGGCACACCCUCUGCGAAGACGUCCCCAAUGCCACGGCUCGAGAGUCAGAGGGGUGGUAUGUCUUGGAGAAGGUGGACUUGCACCCCCAGCUCUGCUUCAAGUUCUCUUUUGGAAACAGCAGCCACGUUGAAUGCCCCCACCAGACAUUCGGUGAGCCAAUAAGUGACCCUGGCUGGGACCCCUUCCCACCAUUUCACCCUCAUGCAACUGCAGCAAAGCCAAACUCUAUCCCUGCCCUGACUUCUCUGUUAACUGCAGCCCGGCUUCUAUCACCUCCCACAAACCAUCAUCUAUUACAUGAUGCCCUUUCCUACCCCCUGGCAGCCCCAUCCUGGAACGUGAGCAUGGAUACCCAGGCCCAGCAGCUGGUCCUUCACUUCUCCUCAAGGAUGCCCGCCACCUUCAGUGCUGCCUGGAGCCACUCAGGCUUGGGGCAGGACAGCAUGGUACCUCCUGUGUACAACGUCAGCCAGACUCAGGGCUCAAGCUCAGUGACACUAGACCUCAUCGUUCCCUUCCCGAGGCCAGGGGGCUGUGUCCUGGUGUGGAGGUCAGAUGUCCAGUUUGCCUGGAAGCACCUCCUGUGUCCGGAUGUCUCUCAUAGGCUCCUGGGGCUCUUGAUCCUGGUACUGCUGGCCUUCACCACCCUACUGGGUGUUGUUCUGGUGCUCACCUGCCAGCGCCCACUGUCAGGCCCAGGUCGAGCGCGGCCGGUGCUGCUCCUGCACGUGGCGGACUCCGAGGCGCAGCGGCGCCUGGUGGGAGCGCUGGCUGAACUGCUGCGGGCCGCGCUGGGCGGCGGGCGCGACGUGAUCGUGGACCUGUGGGAGGGCACGCGGGUGGCGCGCGUGGGCCCGCUGCCGUGGCUCUGGGCGGCACGGGCGCGCGUGGCGCGGGAGCGGGGCACCGUGCUGCUGCUGUGGAGCUGCGCCAGCCCGAGCCCCGCCGGCGGCCCGGAUGCCCGCGCCGCACCCCUGCACACCCUGCUCCGCGCCGCCCCGCGUCCGCUGCCGCUGCUCGCUUACUUCAGUCGCCUCUGCGCCAAAGGCGACAUUCCUCCGCCCCUGCGCGCCCUGCCCCGCUACCGCCUGCUUCAAGACCUGCCGCGCCUGCUGCGGGCGCUGGACGCGCGGACUUCUACUCAAGCCACCAGCUGGGGCCGCCUCGCGGCCCGGCCGUGCCUGCGGGGUCGCGUGGAGCUGUGCCGCCAGCUGGAACGCGAGGCCGCCAAACUUGCCGAUCAAGGCUGAGCAGAGCUCACCGCAGUCCAGAUGUCUGUGGCCGCAGGCCUAGGGGCACUGGCUGGAAGCCCCGAAUGAGGCUUCUACCCUGGAAUCGUUGGAUGCCUCCUAGGGGCCACUGGCCACAAAGCCUUACGCUACCUCCCAGCCCGGGAGCGGGGCAUCACACUCACUGUCCCAGCCCGUUCCCCACGUUCCCCCAGGGUCCAGUCUCUUCCUCAUGCUUAUGCUUGAGGGUUCUCUCCCUCAGAGCCCCCAGGGAGAGUCACUCUUUCCUGAGAACUCCUCUGACCUCAGUGCUGUUGUGAGUGGGGGAUCGUCCCACUUCCUCUCUCCGAAAUUCCAGAGAAUAGUCGUCUGCACGUGCUCCAGUCCAGGCCAGAGAGGUUGGGACAGGGGUUGGGGAGGCAGGAGACAUGGCAGCUCUGAGUGGGAGGUGGCUGCAGAGGGGGUGGGGGGACAGAAACCCCUUUGGGAGCCAGGGAUCCCCCUUUUCCAGACCGGUGCCCUGCCCAGAGUGGGAGGAAGGGAGGGAGGGAGGGCUCUGGACCCUGGGAAGGAGGCUUUGGCCCUGGGUGAUGGGGGCAAAGGUGGGACAGUGGAGACUGAGAUAGAGAAAGUUGAAUAAAGGUGAACAUGAUGGAUAAACUAAGAAACACAAGGUGCUUUUCCAGUGUGCCCGGGGUGCUGAGUUGGGGGAAGGGUCAGCAAGACCCUGCCUGGCGGUUGUUAUGCAUCAUUUUCUGGGCCCAAAUCCACAUCCAUGUCUGUCAUAUUCUCACAAGCAGUGUCUCCCUGGAAAUUUCCUUGAUCCUCACUGUGAUUCUUCAGAGAGAAGAGAAGAAAACACAGGUUCAGAAAGGUGGUGUGGGGCCACAGUCACGCAGCCAGCCCAUGGCAACAGCACAAAUAGGACCCUGUCUUCCUGGCUCUGGGUCCUGGGUCCCAUCCACCCCUACCCCUCGCUUGAGCAUAGGCCGGGAAGAGGCGAAAAGCUCAUGUUACGGUGCCCCUCGUCCCUGUCUUUAGAGAUCGUGUCCCACAGUGAGGCCCAAGGGGAAUGUCUGAAGGGACCUGGGGUGGCCAGUAAGAGGGGCCCCGUGGACACCAAGAUCCCAGAGUCACGUGGGAAGUGCAAAUGCCCCAGGAUUGCCUAAGGCCUUGGUUGUCUCAAUGGAGACUUCCUCCUUAGGGACUCCCAGAGUGAGUAAGAGCUCCCUCACUCAGCCAUUAGGCCACCACCCUCUCCAGGGGCCCCUCCCAGCCAGGUGUCAGCAGAGAAGGAGGAGAAGGGGAAGAGGAGGAGAGGAAAAGAGGGAGGGAGUGAGGCCACCACUCAGGUCCAGGCUGCUGGCUCCCAGGCCUGGUGUUGGUGGGAGGGGCCGGGCGGGGCGGGAACAGCCGGCUGCCUGCCAGGAGCCAAAACGAAAGCACUCCGGCAGGGACUGGAUGGGAGUCACGACUCCUGGGAGAGGGCGUGCGCAAGCGGCCCAGCGCCGGGACCCCGAGACUGGGGAGGGCUUCCGGCCCCUCCUGCCCGCAGGCACGCAGCUGAGUGGGAGAAGAGGUGUGGUGUCAGCCCCCCUUCGGGGGGCGGGCAGGACAGGGCCUCAGGCCUGGGUGCUGCCUGGCACCUGGAAGAUGCCUGUGCCCUGGUUCUUUCUGUCCUUGGCACUGGGCCGAAACCCUGUGGUCCUCUCUCUAGAGAGGGUUGCGGGGCCUCAGGACACUGCCCGCUGCUCUCCGGGCCUUUCCUGCCACCUCUGGGAUGGUGAUGUGCUCUGCCUGCCUGGGAGCCUCGUGUCUGCCCCAGGCCCCGUGCUGGUGCCCACAGGCCUGCAGACAGAGCUGGUGCUAAGGUGCUACAAGGAUACCGACUGUGACCUCUGUGUGCGUGUGGAUGUCCACUUGGCUGUGCAUGGGUACUGGGAAGAGCCUGAAGAUGAAGAGACGUUUGGAAUUGCAGAGGACCCAGCGAUCGAGGAGCCUAGGAACGCCUCUCUCCAGGCCCACGUCGUGCUCUCCUUCCAGGCCUACCCUACUGCCCGCUGCGUCCUACUGGAGGUGCGAGUGCCUGCUGCCCUCGUGCAGCCUGGUCAGUCUGUGGGCUCUGUAGUAUUUGAGUGCUUCCAGGCUGCCCUGGGGGCUGAGGUGCGAAUCUGGUCCUACACUCAGCCCCGGUACCAGAAGGAACUCAAUCUCACACAGCAGCUGCCUGACUGCAGGGGUCUUGAAGUCCGGGACAGCAUUCAGAGCUGCUGGGCCCUGCCCGUGCUCAACGUGUCUGCAGAUGGCAAUGACGUGCACCUGGUGGUGGACAUCCCUGAGGAUCAGCGCUUUGGCCUCUCCCUGUACUGGAACCAGGUCCCGGGCCCUGCAAAACCCUGGUGGCACAGGAACCUGACUGGGCCGCAGACCAUUACCUUGAACCACACAGACCUGGUUCCCUGCCUCUGUAUUCAGGUAUGGCGUCUAGAACCCGACUCUGUCAGGACCAGCAUCUGCCCCUUUAGGGAGGACCCCCGUGCACACCGGAACCUUUGGCGUGCCGCCCGGCUGCAGCUGCUGCCCCCGCGGGCCUGGCGGCUGGACGCGCCGUGCUCACUACCCGCUGAGGCCACACUGUGUUGGCAGGCACCGGAUGGGGGCCCCUGCCAGCCGCUGGUCCCACCGCUGCCCCGAGAGAAUGUCACUGUGAAUAAGGCUCUUGAGUUCCCAUUGCUGAAAGGCCACCCCAACAUCUGUGUCCAGGCAAGAAAGGGGCGCCAGAGAGCCAGGCUUGGGGUCAGGACCUCCCGGACUCCCAGUCACUGUCUUCUGAAUCCACUUUAUCCUUGGGUCCCUGGAGCAAAGUGGUUACCAGCUUCCUCUUUAGGGGUUCCACUACUUAUUUACCGGUGCAUGGCGCGGGACCCUGGGCACUUCACCUCUCUGAACAUCAGUCUCCUCAUCUGUUUAAUGGGGAUGAUAAUAGUAACUAUUGAAUACUUCAUAGAGUGGUUAUGAAGAUUAAACAAUGCUUCAUCUUAGCAACGGGCACAAACUAAAUUCUCAAUAAAUGUUAACUGCUUUGAUUAUUGCUAUAAUUAUCCUAUUUCUCUACCUGUAGAAAUGGGUUGCUUUAUAACUUCGAAGGGUAGUUAUAAAAAUAUUAAUUCCAGAUUUAUUGAGCCAUUAUGUUUCAGGCAC
This is an RNA transcript of Aethalodelphis obliquidens (Pacific white-sided dolphin), 7707 nucleotides long. It is a transcript of the gene named interleukin-17 receptor C-like, with no coding region annotated. The record is from RefSeq and is a predicted model, not a curated record. The transcript is spliced from 25 exons. NCBI's taxonomy places the organism in Eukaryota, Metazoa, Chordata, Mammalia, Artiodactyla, Delphinidae.